This 253-nucleotide ribosomal RNA is filed under the name uncultured bacterium. RNAcentral's name for it is "partial 16S ribosomal RNA". It matches the Rfam family "Bacterial small subunit ribosomal RNA", at positions 524 to 776 of the family's 1533-position model. The record is from RNAcentral.
UACGUAGGGUGCGAGCGUUGUCCGGAAUUAUUGGGCGUAAAGAGCUUGUAGGCGGUCUGUCGCGUCUGCUGUGAAAAUCCGGGGCUCAACCCCGGACUUGCAGUGGGUACGGGCAGACUAGAGUGUGGUAGGGGAGACUGGAAUUCCUGGUGUAGCGGUGAAAUGCGCAGAUAUCAGGAGGAACACCGAUGGCGAAGGCAGGUCUCUGGGCCGCUACUGACGCUGAGAAGCGAAAGCAUGGGGAGCGAACAGG